AGCGAACGCUGGCGGCAGGCUUAACACAUGCAAGUCGAACGGAUCCUUCGGGAUCAGUGGCAGACGGGUGAGUAACACGUGGGAACGUGCCUUUUGGUUCGGAACAACUCAGGGAAACUUGAGCUAAUACCGGAUGUGCCCUUCGGGGGAAAGGAUUUAUCGCCAUUAGAGCGGCCCGCGUCUGAUUAGCUAGUUGGUGAGGUAAAGGCUCACCAAGGCUUCGAUCAGUAGCUGGUCNGAGAGGAUGAUCAGCCACACUGGGACUGAGACACGGCCCAGACUCCUACGGGAGGCAGCAGUUUCGAAUCAUUCACAAUGGGCGAAAGCCUGACGCAGCAACGCCGCGUGUGUGAUGAAGGUCUUCGGAUCGUAAAGCACUGUCGCGGAGGGAAGAUACGCCACGCGCUAACAUCGCGGGGCUAAGACGGUACCUCGAGAGGAAGCACCGGCUAACUCUGUGCCAGCAGCCGCUAGU
This 475-nucleotide ribosomal RNA is filed under the name uncultured bacterium. RNAcentral's name for it is "bacterial SSU rRNA". It matches the Rfam family "Bacterial small subunit ribosomal RNA", at positions 29 to 522 of the family's 1533-position model. The record is from RNAcentral.